Molecule: long non-coding RNA, 1224 nt
Filed under: Gadus morhua (Atlantic cod)
Lineage: Eukaryota; Metazoa; Chordata; Actinopteri; Gadiformes; Gadidae
Description: lncRNA (ENSGMOG00000023802.1)
Source: RNAcentral
AUGAGGUUAAGAGUAGAUUUAAAAUGCUCCACUGUCAUAGCUGUUGUUCUAAUAUGCAUUGUUUUUGUGUUUUCUAGGACAAAGCAAAGAACCUUGCCGUCCUACCUUGGGAAAGAGACACAAUGCACUCCACAGAAGGCAGCUGAAAUGAGCAAAAAGAUCUUGAGAGUGAUCGUCAAAGACAUGAGGCCUUUGUCUCUUGUUGAGGGUGAAGCCUUCAUAGACAUCAUUGAAUAUGCCUGCCCAGGCUUCAAAUGUCCCUCUAGGUCGUGGUUCACAAAGCAGUUGGAGAAGGCAUAUCAACAUGCUCUUGAAGAUCUGAAGAAAGACCUAAAGAAGAGGUCCUCAAAAAUCACACUCACCACAGAUGCCUGGACAAGUAUUGCCACAGAGGCAUACCUCGGAGUGACCUGCCACUACAUCAACGACAACUGGGAGAUGGUCUCAUUUGUUUUGUGCACAAAGCGCCUUGAGGACCGACACACUGCAGAAAAACAUUGCUCGCUGGAUUGAAGAGGUUGCCGAGAAGUUUGACUUCUCUCUCCUUGAUGAUGUCCUGGCGAUUGUCCACGAUAAUGCAGCUAAUGUGGUCAAAGCCCUUAGAAUCCUUGAAGAGAGGCAGGGCGUUGCCUCACUUCGAUGUGCUGGCCAUACCAUCCAGUUGAUCGUAAACCAUGCUCUGAAAGAGCCCCGCAUCAACAAGGCACUUGGGGCAGCAAGGAGCCUCGCCGGGUACUUCCAUAGCAGCGAUGUUGCCACCCUGAAUUUGAAACUCAAACAAGAGCAAAUGGGCACAGCUCAACACAAGUUGACCCAGGAUGUAGCUGUUAGAUAGUUCUUACUAUAUGAUCAAACGCCUCCUUGAGCAGUGGUGGCCUGUAACCGCAACCCUCUCCGACCCAGAGGUCACCAAUGCAGCAAAGCACUACCUGGAUAUGAAAUCUGACCAGUUGAGGCUCCUGGAGGAGCUACAGCAAGCACUUGAGCCCUUUGAGCAAGCCACCGUCUUCCUGAGUGGAGAAGCAUACGUCACAGUCUCUGUCCUGCCUCCGCUAGUGUAAGCCCUACAGAAGUCCACGCAGACAGUCUUUGAGUCCGCUUCCGUCACCACCUUCGAAACAGCAGCCGCAGCAGAGAUUGCUUCAAGGUUAGUUUGAUUAUCCAGCUCUUUAAAUCUCUUAUAGUGAACUAACUGAAUAUUUUAAUUAAGCUUUCCCAGUUUGC